This is a long non-coding RNA of Labeo rohita (rohu), 1292 nucleotides long. RefSeq lists it as uncharacterized. NCBI's taxonomy places the organism in Eukaryota, Metazoa, Chordata, Actinopteri, Cypriniformes, Cyprinidae. The transcript is spliced from 2 exons. The record is from RefSeq and is a predicted model, not a curated record.
GAGAGUAUUUUAUAUUUUACUCUCAUGGCCUCGACGCUCCGGCCUGGAACUUCUGGUUUGAGUUCCAGCCGCUCAAGUCCUCAUACGUGUCUCCUGACGAGGACAUGAUCACUCUCGCCAUCACCGCUCAUUAUUUCUCUGGCUCAGACGGGCACUCGGAGCCGCUCGACUCCUUACUGAAGAGAUUCCCGGACUGGGCAUUCCCAUCCUCAUGGAUCAGCACAUACCACUUGUACAGAUACUGAGGGCCACUUGUUUGAGGGCCUUGAACUCACAUAUAUACAAACACACACAGUGAUUUUUAUUUUUUGUAUGUUCAUUCUGUUGUAAUGGUUUUUAUAUUGUACAAAACAAACUGUAUUUUUUUAAUCCCCUUACCUUAACCCUACACCUAAACCUACCCCUCACACAAAACCUUUUGCUAUUUCAGAUUUUUAAAAACACUUCAUUCUGUGUAAUUUAUAAGGUUAUUUACUCAUGAGGGCCAAAAAUGUCCCCACAAGGUUAAAAUGUAGUGAAUACCAGGUACACACUGUUAGAUUGCUGUCUCCAUGCCUAGACAAAUAAGAUCCAGCCCCGGAUGCCAGAUCCCGUCAGAAAAUAUCAGUUUGUUCAGUAUCAGAACAACUCAGCAGAGUAGUCUAAUACCCAAACCCUGUUAACAAGAGGUCUUGUCUGGUACCCAAAAUAUCCAAAAACACUAUUAACAGUCAAUGAAAGUGAAGGGCAGAAGCAGGAGAUGAAGUAAAGAUGGUAAAAAGGAGCAGAGUUUAUUGAAUAGUCUUAGUUGCGUAUGUCUCAAUGCUCAGACUUCGUCUGAAGAACUCAAACCCAACAAGUAUUGUUACACCAAAUUGAUUCACAACAACAUCCCAUAAACCUUGAGUUUCUGUAAACAUUUCCUUGUAUCCCUUGUUAAUGAAGACAAACAGCCCUUGAAACCACACAGUCAUAAGGCUAAACAAUGGAAAAAAUAUAUAAAAACAACUAUAAUAUAAUAAAAAUGAUCAAUCAAUUAAUCAAUAAAAUGAAUAUAUAAAUGACUAUAAUGAUUAUUAUAAAUGAUUAUAUGAUUAAAUGGAAUAAUAAAAUGAUGAAAUAAUUAAUGAUUAUAAAUGAAUGAAGAAUAAAUAAAGAAUAUAUAAAAAAGAAUGCAAAACACAACACAAAUGUAUGGUUGCUCUCAUGCAAAACACACUCAGUUUGCAUUUAAGUAUCGUCCGAUCCUUCAACACACACACACAUGCCACUCACUAGCAUAAACACCAUAUGAGCUCCUUCAUUCACAUCAA